RNAcentral lists this ribosomal RNA (382 nucleotides) under uncultured bacterium. RNAcentral describes it as "partial 16S ribosomal RNA". It matches the Rfam family "Bacterial small subunit ribosomal RNA", at positions 355 to 728 of the family's 1533-position model. The record is from RNAcentral.
UAGGGAAUCUUCCACAAUGGACGCAAGUCUGAUGGAGCAACGCCGCGUGAGUGAAGAAGGCUUUCGGGUCGUAAAACUCUGUUAUUGAAGAAGAACGUGCGUGACAGUAACUGGUCAUGCAGUGACGGUAUUCAAUCAGAAAGUCACGGCUAACUACGUGCCAGCAGCCGCGGUAAUACGUAGGUGGCAAGCGUUGUCCGGAUUUAUUGGGCGUAAAGCGAGUGCAGGCGGUCUUUUAAGUCUGAUGUGAAAGCCUUCGGCUUAACCGAAGAAGGGCAUCGGAAACUGGGAGACUUGAGUGCAGAAGAGGAGAGUGGAACUCCAUGUGUAGCGGUGAAAUGCGUAGAUAUAUGGAAGAAACACCAGUGGCGAAGGCGGCUCU